RNAcentral lists this ribosomal RNA (468 nucleotides) under uncultured bacterium. Its description in RNAcentral is "partial 16S ribosomal RNA". It matches the Rfam family "Bacterial small subunit ribosomal RNA", at positions 28 to 507 of the family's 1533-position model. The record is from RNAcentral.
GACGAACGCUGGCGGCGUGCUUAACACAUGCAAGUCGAACGGAAAGGCCCUGCUUUUGUGGGGUGCUCGAGUGGCGAACGGGUGAGCAACACGUGAGUAACCUGCCCUUGACUUUGGGAUAACUUCAGGAAACUGGGGCUAAUACCGGAUAGGAGCUCCUGCUGCAUGGUGGGGGUUGGAAAGUUUCGGCGGUUGGGGAUGGACUCGCGGCUUAUCAGCUUGUUGGUGGGGUAGUGGCUUACCAAGGCUUUGACGGGUAGCCGGCCUGAGAGGGUGACCGGCCACAUUGGGACUGAGAUACGGCCCAGACUCCUACGGGAGGCAGCAGUGGGGAAUAUUGCACAAUGGGCGGAAGCCUGAUGCAGCAACGCCGCGUGCGGGAUGACGGCCUUCGGGUUGUAAACCGCUUUCGCCUGUGACAAAGCGUGAGUGACGGUAAUGGGUAAAGAAGCACCGGCUAACUACGUG